RNAcentral lists this non-coding RNA (3541 nucleotides) under synthetic construct. The record is from RNAcentral.
AUAGCAUCUGGAUUUUUCAGAAAGAGACACUUUUCUGAUCCUGCUGUUUGCUCCAUUGGUAAUUGUGGAAAGUUGGAUACUACAGACGAGAUACCAGUGGCGCUCAUCAUCACUCCUGUUAGGAUUCCAUCUACUGUGCUGCACGAGUACCUCAAGAAAGCAAUUGAUUUUUGGAAUCAGUGUGCUGAGGCAAACUUUGACCAUAUCCCAUGGGGGCAGCUUUCGGAUGUUGCAAGAAAACCCAUAACCCCCUAAAAGAUGUAAGGGGACAACUCAUUGACCUGACAAAGGACUUUGAACUAAUUUCUGAAAACACUGGACUUUUGGUUGAAGACCCCUCUGUUGGUGAGGGGCAUUUAGAGCUUAAACCCAAACCUUAUGGGUCAGACACUGACAGUGAUACAGACAUUGAAUAUGAACGAGGCAAACACGCUUAAUUUGCUUUAAUUACUUUAAUAAAAUGUUUAUAGUUCAUCUUCUGAUUCUGUCUCCAAGUCUGUAUAUUUUGCUCUGGGGGGUUGUGGGAUAGACUGGAAAGGUUGUGCUUCCAUGGCGCCGCUAAUACCCAAUUUCUUAUAAGUCACCUUGGUGCUGGUCUGUGAUCUGAGUCUGAUGAUUCUCACAACAAUUAUUAUUAGACAUAUUAUGGGAAUUAUUGUCAUAUUAAUAGUAAUUGGUUUGUGAAGCCGCGAGGUGACAAAGAUGGCAUCAUAUCUGAUAACAGGGAGAAGCAUAAUAACAUAUGCCACAAAAAGCCCAAUGUAAAAUCCAACAUGAUGUCUUAGGUACUUGGCCAGGAACACUUCUGCCCCGAUAUGCCACACCAGAGAUAUGAUGAGGAAUAGGUUGACAGCACCAAACACUGCAUCUGAUACCAGGAUGUAAAAAGAAUUACAAACUGCCAUCAUGACACUCAGUGAGAACACCAGCAUUUCCAGAGCCAGUAGGGACAUUUGAAUGUUGGCCAAAAUUGGUCUGUAGAACAACACCAGUUUUUCUAGAGAGCUGCCUUCAGGUAUUUUCUGUUCCAUAUCAUUUGCUUGCCACUGGGGCACAUACCUAGAUAUAAACACGUGUACAUGGACAUAUGACAGCAUGAAAUGAAACAGGUAAACAAAGGCUGCUAGAAAUAUCUGCUUAAAGCUCAAAACAUGCACAAACAGCUGAAGUGUCCAUAGUCUGGCGAUGGACAGGUAAAGUGUUGAGUGUCCCCCAAUAAGAGUGAGCCACACUUGUAUGGCAUUCAGGGAGGGCAUGAAGAUUUUCUUCAGACGGUACACUGUUACUGCGCCAAAAAUAAAAUAAAUUAUAUUAAUAGCUUCUGUUAGGAAUGACCAUACUAUGUACACAAACAUUUCUGGCCCUUCUAGAAACAGUGUGGGUGUUAAGUGCUUUGCAGAAUUUCUCACUGUUAGGUUCAAAGUGCUAUAAUCCACCAGGUUGACAAAAUAACAUGGGAAUCCAACCCCCCUGAAAGAGGCCAGUAUGGGAACAGUUGAACUUGUCACAAACAGUAGUGUGAGAAGAGCUAGGAGGUUGGUCCAUGACUUCAACAGGAAGGAGUCACUCCUAGACGGCUCCAACUUUUUUAGCUGUGGCACUUUAAGGGCAGGCAUUUGAAAAUAGACUAGCCACACCUCCCACGCAGUCCUAUAUUCAGUAGCCGGUAUUGUAGGUGCUUUUUAAUAAUCGUGCUUCUGCCGCUGGUAAAAUGUGCAGACUUCAAUGGCACGAUGUUCAGGUCUUGAAUGUCAGCCUUUAUAAUAUUUCAAUGCCACAUAAAACUGGUAUAUGGGUAAUCACUGCCCUCAAAACGGCUACCUGGGAUUUGUGUGCGUUUUUCAGAUUGGAACAACUUUCAGAGACUGUACCACACAUUCCAGGAGAAAUGGACCCUCGUCCAAUGUCUCCGUUUAUGCACAAUGAAAAUAUCUGCCUUUUUGAUUUGUUAAUGAGAUAUCAGUCACCAUUACUGAGGAAGCUCAUUAACCUUGGAAGAAUGAAAUUGGGUACUUCUGGCAAGGAGAUACUGGCUGUAGAAGAAGUUGAAACUGCCCUGACUCAUCAGCUCACAGGAGGUUAUUUGAUGUGUUUUGGUACUACCAUUAGACAAGAGGACGACCGUGGGAAGCUUACAUCAUGGAAAGAACACUUACUUAAGGAUUUCAACCUCUGUCAGCCUCAGGUUUAUUUGAAGACCUGUCGGGGCGUCUAUGUAUAUGAUUCCCGAGACAUACCAGCCAAGAAGGGGAGGUUGGACAGUCUGACCAUAGAAGAUAUUUUCAGCCCUGUUGAUACCAUUUUACACGUUGCCGGCAGCCCCAUUACAGUAAGAACUUUUGAAACACCAUUUCAUAUUUUAUGGAUAGAUAAAGACAGUGUAUGGAACGGGUAUCUUUCAGAGUUUUUUAGAGCCCUGUAUGUGAAACUAUAUGGUAAUUUUAUUGGCCUCAAACCUAUACUUGCCUACGUUUUCCCAGCAGCUGUGGAGUCUCCCACUUUCUUCAACACCAUUUUUACUAGCUUUCCUUUCCUGUGUUUAAGAUUUGGCAAGCCUGUAAAAACCAGCUGUGUCCACUUACAGAAGGAUUGUUUAAAAAUACUUGCAAAAUUACCUAAUGUUAUCAGGUCUCCUCUAGCAGACAAAGUUUUGGACAUAAAGGCUCAGAAGAAACCAAUCACCAGUAUGUGGCCCUUGCUCACCAAAGAAUUAAAUGGAAGUUUUGCUGAAGAUAACAAGGUUAUAAUUACAAAGGAAUGUAAUGUAGUUGAAAUUGACUUUACAAAGGCUUUCCUUAUUUCCUGUAACAUGCCUUAUGCAGUUUACUGGCAUGAGCAGAUGGUGGAAAUUGUUAAUGUGAUAACAGAUGAAAUGAAGGAUUCUCUAGUGUCAAGAUAUAAUGAGUUUCUCUAUGCUAUCAUAUCAAGUGGGAAUAAACAUAACUUCACCUGGGUGAGUAUAAGCAAAUGUACAGUUCACAUGGUGGGACCCGACCUGGUGAAUGAUACACAGUUCCUGGAUGAAAUAUUCCACAGACUCUCAUCAGUUUAUAAUGGACACGUAGGGGAUAUUACAGUCUCAUCACAGAAACUAAAAGUUGCUAUGUUCACUGAUAUUCUGGAUGAAAUAAAGUUGAUCAAACCACUCUGUCUUGAAGAAAACAGGCAACCAGAGACUUUUCAAAGCGCAUGCGAGGAUAUUCUAAGAUAUUCACUCUGUCUUUGUAAACACUCAAAGGAAGACAUACUCUGGAAAAUUCUUCUGACCAUGUGGCAGCAAAGAAGAAAUACCUCUUUCUGGCUAAAAGAAACAAUGAAUAUAGAACAUCCCACCAUCCGGCCCAAAGGACUUUUCUUUACCAUAGCUCCUGCAUUUUAUCUCCACACAAAGCAUGGAAUGUCUUUUUGGAUGCAAGACAAACCCCUCCCAAGCUGCUUUGAUUAUACCCCUUAUAUCAUGGAACUGUGUGACAUACUACAACUGAAUGAUGAAGAAAGAGACAUGAUAUUGUCAAAUUAUGAAACUUUAUUAAAUUUAUCA